This is a long non-coding RNA of Passer domesticus (house sparrow), 945 nucleotides long. RefSeq lists it as uncharacterized. The transcript has 3 exons. The record is from RefSeq and is a predicted model, not a curated record. Lineage: Eukaryota; Metazoa; Chordata; Aves; Passeriformes; Passeridae.
AUCCCUUGUUUACUGUAGGUUGACACCACUCCAGAGUGGUGGGUGCUUGCUUUACAGAGAGGGCCCUAGCCUCUCCCUUGCUUUUUUAGGGAGUCUUCUGCAGUCUUCUCCAGUGAUUUAUUUGGAUGGGGGUUUCUGAUGUUAACGGUGUUUCUUUGGCAUGAGACAGGCUCUUCUGAAUAAGGAAAUAUUGUCAUUGUAAUUUGCAAUUCAGGGUUUAUGCUGCCUGGCUGGAACUAAAUUUUAUUCCCAUGAGGAGGAGCUGUCUUUCUGUUUUUAUUUUUGCAUAAAUGAGAUUGCUGGGUUUCUGGCUACAGUGACAGCUUGCAGUGAGGGUUCAGAGCCACUAGUGGGUGUUGGGCUUGUGUUCUGCCUUGCUGAUGGGAAGACUAUGAAUACAGGCUCAGGCCUUUGCCAUCACCUCAGUUCAUGUUCCAAAAGCAAUUGUGCCUCUGACAGGUUUCAGAGAUGGCUUUUCAUGUGCAGCUCCAACUGUCAGCACAUGAACUGAGUAGCAAAAAAUAUUGUCUCUAUGGCCAAUGUAUUUUAUCCCACAGUUUCUUUGGAUUUAAUGGAUGUAGCUUUCCACUCAAGGAUGUUUGAAGAGUACGGAUUCACACACAAAGCACUGGCAAUCUGAGGUAUUUGACAAAGAUGUCUACUCAGUUCUUCACAGUCUGAAAUAGGGCUUUAUGUAGGCAGAAGGAAAGCACAUAAAGAUACAUAUACUGUUCUCUCUUUCUAGUGUGAAAUCAAGCAUAAGUAGUGCUGCCACAGGGUCCCUACACUGGUGUGACUGCGUCCAAAGUCUAGGGAUCCAGAUAAUAGGUGAGAUAAUUCAGCAGGAUUGGAGUCCUACACUGAAAGAAGUCCACUGCAUACAGAUAAGGUCUCUCAGCACAGCCUCUCUGCCUUUGAGGGAAACAUCAGCUCCUUCCAAUUUAG